Molecule: long non-coding RNA, 567 nt
Filed under: Cricetulus griseus (Chinese hamster)
Lineage: Eukaryota; Metazoa; Chordata; Mammalia; Rodentia; Cricetidae
Description: lncRNA (ENSCGRG00015037147.1)
Source: RNAcentral
GGGGGCUCGUCCGGGAUUUGCGACCACCCUUCACCUGAGUGGAUUCGAUCUUGGAGUUUAUAAUGUCAGACAGACUGCCAGAUCCUGACAGUGACCCAAAGUCUCCAAAGAAGAUUAUGAGGCAACCCAGUUCCUGCACCUGGACCAGUGAGCGAGAUGCUCAGAUGUGAUACCUACCGCCUGCCAGAACCUGGCCGAGACUGUGGACAAAGCUGCUGGACACUGGAAAAUUGAUUGUACACCUUUGCCUAGACAAAACAAGGUUUCUGCUUCUGGCAGACAUCUGAGUAUCAGUUGCUGACUACAGGCUGUUCUAAGUAGACUUCGAGCCCUGGAUUUGCUGUGGAAGUGAACCAGUCCAGCUGGUGUGGACACCCCCUGUCUCUGCAACAGUGUCUGCUAACCAGAAGCCCCUGAUGGAUUCCCCAUUGCCUAAAUUCCUUUUUGCUUUUGACUAGCAUUUCAACCUUCUGGGGUCCCUAACUUCGUCCCAAAGUCAGCAGGAAGCAGUUUGGAAAAGAAUUUCAGCGCCCAUUUUCCCUGGUUAAAAUGCUAAGUCAAAAGGAA